Chiloscyllium plagiosum (whitespotted bambooshark) is the source of this 101-nucleotide non-coding RNA. NCBI's taxonomy places the organism in Eukaryota, Metazoa, Chordata, Chondrichthyes, Orectolobiformes, Hemiscylliidae. The record is from RefSeq and is a predicted model, not a curated record.
AAAUACUGACACGCGACCUUCCAUCACAAGGUCAGAAAUACCAAAAUACCGACACCCGACCCUCCAUCACAAGGUCAGAAAUACCAAAAUACCAACAACCG